Molecule: ribosomal RNA, 470 nt
Filed under: uncultured bacterium
Lineage: Bacteria
Description: bacterial SSU rRNA
Rfam family: Bacterial small subunit ribosomal RNA
Source: RNAcentral
AGAGUUUGAUCCUGGCUCAGAUUGAACGCUGGCGGAAUGCUUUACACAUGCAAGUCGGGCGGCAGCAUGGACUUCGGUCUGAUGGCGAGCGGCGAACGGGUGAGUAAUGCAUCGGAACGUACCCAGUCGUGGGGGAUAACCACUCGAAAGAGUGGCUAAUACCGCAUACGUCCUACGGGAGAAAGCAGGGGCUCGCAAGACCUUGCGCGAUUGGAGCGGCCGAUGUCUGAUUAGCUAGUUGGUGGGGUAAAGGCCCACCAAGGCGUCGAUCAGUAGCGGGUCUGAGAGGAUGAUCCGCCACACUGGGACUGAGACACGGCCCAGACUCCUACGGGAGGCAGCAGUGGGGAAUUUUGGACAAUGGGCGCAAGCCUGAUCCAGCCAUUCCGCGUGAGUGAAGAAGGCCUUCGGGUUGUAAAGCUCUUUCAGCCGGAACGAAACGGUCCGCUCUAACAUAGCGGGCUACUGAC